This is a long non-coding RNA of Pan troglodytes (chimpanzee), 3318 nucleotides long. RefSeq lists it as uncharacterized. The record is from RefSeq and is a predicted model, not a curated record. The transcript is spliced from 3 exons. NCBI's taxonomy places the organism in Eukaryota, Metazoa, Chordata, Mammalia, Primates, Hominidae.
UCACAAAAAGUGUUAGAAUUCAAGUAAAGUGGCAAAUUUUACAUAUGACUUUCUAUUCCAAGGUUUAUCAAGAUGACAGAACUCAUACAGAAUAUAUGAAUAAACAUAAAAAUAAAAAUCUACCUUAGGAAAAAAAAAAAAACUAAAAGGGGUUUCCACUUUUGCAACCUCCUCAUUUUUCCUCUUGCUGGCGCCAUGGAAGAAGUGCCUUUCGCCUCCCACCAUGAUUCUGAGGCCUCCCCAGCCAAGUGGAACUAUUGCUAUGAGAAGAGGAAAGGGUUAAGCUAGACCUAAAUACAAUACUGUAUGGAAGAAGUUGAAAAAACUGUGACAAAUUAUCUUUACAUACUAAUAGGAAAGAUAUCCAAGAUCUACUGGCAGAGUCAAAAAAGCAAGUUUGCAAACUGAGAGGCAGAGUAAGUAUGAUACUGAUUCUGUGAGGAAAGCAAGCACACACGUACACAUACAAACACACACAGCAAUACUAUAUUUCAUAAGCCUAUUUGUCUGUCCACAACAUGUAUCUCUAAGUCAAUGCAUAGAAAAAGGUCUGAAGCAACAGAAAACCAAACUGAAAAUAGUUGUCAUUUUCUGGCAUUGGUGGGUAGGCAGCUGGGAUUGGGGAUGAUGGUGGUGAGAGAAUGUCAGAGAAGCCUUUACAAACAUUCCACAUGUUUUGAAGAUAAUAUGUUAAUACAAUACUUAUAUAGUAAGAACUAAUUUUUUAAAAGAAUCAUAUGUGGAUAAAAAGGACAAAGGUUGAGCAAAAAGAUGCAAUGGUUAGGGAGAAGCAUGACUAGGCAGAGCAUGAAAAAGGCCUCUGCUUCCUCAGUAACUUGAGGUAAAGAGCUGCUAUUUCCCUCUUUCAAUUUACCCCUUAAACCCAUCAUCUCUGGCUCAGGACUGGUGAUUUUUAAAAAGCACCAAUGUGAGUGUGAAGGCUCGUGGUCCUGUGAGUUCCUAAUCAUUCUUUACACCUUUGGAACAUGAGAUAAGGUAGGAGUAGUAGGUAGAUAAGGGUAAUGAAUUUUCUUUUAAUUCUUGAAAUUAACUACUAUGCCAGAAACCUACUGUGGCUAUUUCCCUCUAUCCUUUAGCUAUAAAAGUAAAUGCUAACUCUUGGCUGUAUAAAUAGGAAGGAGGCAUUCAUUUAAUAUUAUUGCAAACCAGUUUAAUCACUGCUAUAAUGCCAGUACCUUCUGGGAUCGAGUCCUUCUUCCUGGUUUGCCCAAGAGAAACUAGUCGGCAGCCACUAGUCUGAACUCUGCUCUAACGGUGGCCCUACUGCUUGGUCUAUGCACGUGGUUUAUUUCUUUUGUCAAGAGUACUCUUUGUAAAAUCUUGGCUUCCUCAGUUCCUCUAUACAAGCAGGAGUUUGUCAGGGAAGAGUGUUCUGUGUAUAUGGGGCAAGGAAAGGCAUGAUCAAAAGCACAAUUACAUAGCAAGCUCAGGGAAUUAUGAGGAAGCUUGUGGGAAUGGAGUAAAUGUACAUGUGUGUGUGCGUCUGGCAAUGGGAAAUACGGUAAGGGGGAAAUUAUGGCAGGUAAUGAGAUGAGAAUAAGUAGAUCAGAGCCAGACUCUGAAACCCUGGCAUGACAAGCUAAGGAGUUUAGACUUUAUCCCUUGUGUGUUAAUGGGGACCCAUCAAAGGUUUUUAAACCAGAGAGUGAUAUGAUUAGAACUGUCUUUAAAGAAAGAGAUUUGACAAGAGUAUGGAGGAUGGAUUAGAAAAUGGAAAGGUUAAAAGUAGAUAAGCAGCUCUCCAAAGAACUGAAAUGGAAGAUGAAAAGCGCCUAAACAGGGCAAUGGCUAGGAGAAUGGAGGGAAGAGUACAAACAAAGUCAAAAAGCAAUUUUAGUGAUAGAAGAAACAGGACUUGUUGACAGAUUGGUUGUGAAGACCAAGGGAACAUAAAGACUCAAGAUGAAUGUGAGGUUUCCAGCUGAGAGGAUGGAGAGGCCACUAAUGAAGACAGAGGAUAUAGGAAGGGAGGGAGGGUGUUUGGAGAGUAUCCGGAAAAAUGAGUUUGGGAUUGGUUGAACUACUUACUAGGAUAGCAACCCUUACUGAGCUCCAAAAGGAUAAGGAUCUUGUUUGCCAAUUUUCUCUGUGCUGCACCUACUGCAAUACCAUGUGCAUUUAAUUCAAGUUUGUGAGAAUGGUGAUAAUGCUAACGUGUGCCAGGAUAAUUGAGACUUGACAAUAUUUAAGAUAUCUCUUCAAAGUGCCUGUGUAGAAAGGAAAUAUGAGACAAGGUGGUUUGUUUUACUUUUCUGUCAAAUUUCUUCUUUAGUCGUUUCCAAAAUAAAUUCCCAAUAAUAACAGGGCUUUUAACAAGAAGGUCCAUUACUAAGAGCAACCUGCGGUAGACCAUCGUAUGUCUCACAACUUUACAUUCUACACAUUCCAAUAAUCAAGUCACAUCACCUCUAAUUCUCUUUCUUGUUCAGGAACCUGUAUUACCACUUAACAUUCUAAAACCUGCCACACCCAAUAGUCAAACAUAAUCAGAGCCAUUUUAACAAUAUGGGGGAAAAAAAAGAAAAAGAAAUAACCUCACUGCUGUUAAAAAACCUUAGGAGGAGGUACAGAAAAAGAAAGCACCAUUUGUUCUGGUUAAUGUUGUUGUGUAAUGUUUUCUGGGGUGUGCCCUGUAGGCAUGUUGAAAUCAUAACUAAAUAAAUCAGCUCCAGCAACGCAAAGAAACAAUAUUCCCUUCCCCUUUGGCUGCCUGAAGGAAUAAUGGCAUCUUCUCCAUGAUGUGCACACACUUUGGAGCUGCUUUGUUUUUAAUCUUCUGCCAAGUCAAGUUUUAGUUUUAUUUUAAUUUUGGUAACCACAGUAAAUUCCAAAUCUUUGACAAGUAAAUGCUUUCUUUCUCGCCAGAAUCCCACUCACUUUCCUUUCUAACUCUAGGAGUUCAAUAAUGGCUGCAGUACUGAUCUCUUUUCAUGAACAAGAAAAUAAAUACACUAUAAAUUAAGCAUAUUUCCUGACAUUUACAUGAUGGUUUAAAUGUGACAUGAGUACAAUAAAAUUGUCAUCUUGUUUGCCCAUCAUUGUAUAAAUAUAUAUGUAUAUAUAUUUAUGUGCACUGUACGGAAAAGAACAGCAUAGAAAGUCAGGAGAUGUGCACUCAAGUCUCAUUCAUUUCAGUUGGCUGUAUGACGUUAGUUUAAAAACUUAAAUUUGGUUUCCCUAUGUAUAAAAGUUAGGCAAAUAUACUAGAUGGUUUUCAAAGUCCCUUUCACUUUAAAAUUCUGAUUCAUAAGAUUAUGUCUGUUACCGAUUUUUUUUAAACACAUGAAAAAGUCACUC